Molecule: transfer RNA, 87 nt
Filed under: human gut metagenome
Rfam family: tRNA
About the family: Transfer RNA (tRNA) molecules are approximately 80 nucleotides in length.
Source: RNAcentral
GAGAGAUGGCUGAGUUGGUCUAAAGCGCACGAUUGGAAAUCGUGUAGGCGUUAAAAGCGUCUCAGGGGUUCGAAUCCCCUUCUCUCC